UUGCUCACUUUGGUAGCACAUUUACUAAAAUUGGAACGAUACAGAGAAGAUUAGCAUGGCCCCUGCACAAGGAUGACAUGCAAAUAUGUGACGCAUUCCACAUUUUA
Small nuclear RNA from Sorex araneus (European shrew), 107 nucleotides. The record is from Ensembl. Lineage: Eukaryota; Metazoa; Chordata; Mammalia; Eulipotyphla; Soricidae.